Molecule: non-coding RNA, 9283 nt
Organism: Thamnophis sirtalis
Lineage: Eukaryota; Metazoa; Chordata; Lepidosauria; Squamata; Natricidae
Source: RefSeq, a predicted model, not a curated record
CUGAGUCCCCUUCGGGGAAAAGGGCGGCAUAUAAAUGUAAUAAAUCCAAUCCAAUCCAAUAGUCCCUAAGUGAUAAAACAGUGCACAGCAAACAAACAAACAAACAAACAAAAAAAUCUCUUCUACCUGUGAACUUGAACUUUCAGCUUUUUUCUCUCUUUUCCUGCAGCCGUGGCCGUGAUUGCUCUGGAAAAAUCCCCAAAGGGAACAAGAAAGUAAACAAGCAAAGCUUGGCCGACGGAACUGCAAAGACGUCCGAGUUCGGCAGCAACGGCGGCGGCAGCUGCAGCCGACCCCAGUCCCAGUUUAAUGGGGAUGGAGGCCCCCCCUCCAGAGCCAACGAAGAUCCCACUGUUGGAACAUGCCCUUCAGCCACAUCACCUUGUGCCUUAGCAAGAGACACUGACUCAUGCAAUAACAAAAGCCCCUAUUUUGGGACGCUGGGUGGGGACUCUGAACGAUGCCCGGAGAACAAGCUUCCCUUCCCGGUUCUGCAGAAAGAGGAGUGAAUAGAUGCCGCUGUGGGUCCAAUUGGCUGGCAAAUGGGAUGGGUGGGUGGGAUGACAAGGUUUUGACCUGCCAAGGAUAGGAUGGGGAAAUUCAGCCCUUCCAACACAUUGGCUAGAAUGUAAAUGCAAUCAAGUGCUGGAAUAGAAUUAUUAGCUAGGCAGGGACAGGGACAGGGAGAUUGCUGUCUUGAUAGCUCACAUUACAACAUUUGGCUGAUUAAUCGAAUUGCUCCACUACAGCAGAUAUUGUGUAGUAUUGUGUAAUGUUGUGAGGUCAAGCAGCCUGCUGGGACUUUUGCCCCUGUUUUGGAGGAUAACAUCAGCUUUUUUGCAUUCCGCCCCUCAAUUUUGCCACUGUGCCAAUCGGAUCCAUAAAGGCGGCAAUUUUUUAAGUUUAUUUGAAUUUAUUUUUGUUUUUUAAUUUUAUAGGGGGGAAGACUUUUUAGGGGGCAAGAAUUAUGAAUUCUGGAUUUUGGGAAGGGGGAUAUUUUUAAAGGAAGAAAAAGCCAGGAAGGUUUUACUUUAAAAUGGGGCAGAUUUUUCCUGCCUGCCUUGUUUAAUUUCUUGCCAACUCCCCCACCAUCAGGCCAAAUAGCAGUAUUGCUUUGAGGGAUGGUGAUGUUGGUAUGAAUUAAGGGGUGUGUAUGAGAGACAAUGAUUUUUAAGAGAGAGAGAGUAGUACCACCACUGCAAAUUAUGCACAAGAUGCAUAUAGCGGCUGGCGUGUGCUUUUUAUUAUAUAUGAAAGAGAGAGAGAGAGAGAUUAUAUUUAUAUAUAACAUGAAUAGAGCUAUAUAUAAAUAUGAAUGCUACAAACCCGGAAGGGGUAAAAAUGUUCCCGGGAGACAACUUGCGUUCCAAAACGCUACGUGUUUAAUGAAUUCAAGGUCUGCUUCGCCAGUUGCCAGCAAUUGGGUCCUAUCCUCAGGUUGCGGCAGUAGAAUGAGGCAGGCCUCCUGAUACCAGACAGAACACUUCUUAUCCUUAAAACAGACAAGCACUUACUGUUACAAUUCCAGGACUGUGAGCAAAUGGCUGAAGAUAGCUGGGGCUGUAAAGAUGUGGGGUGGAUAGCCAUCCAAAUGGGGAAGUCGUGGGGUGAGGCUGCCAAUGAUAUCCAUCCUACCCAGAAACGGAGUGGGUGCGAGGGAUUCUAGCUCUUGUUGUCAUUAAAAAGGUGACAUUGGGGGCGUUGGGGUUGGGGUUAUUGCAGUUGCUCAGCUGGUGAUUCUUUAUUCUUCUCUUCCAAGGGAAUCCUACAAGUUCAGUACACGAUCUAGAAUCUAGGAUGAAUCUAGGAUGAAUCGGGCCUUUUAGAAAUCACCCUGCCCACCCCCUCAGGCUUCGCACAAUCUGCUAUCAAUUCUUAUGCUGAUGAUAAUGGGAAAAUUUUUUCCAAAGACUUGCUGAAAACAGUUGGUCGAGGUUUUCAUUAGUGUAGCUAAACUCCAUUAUAUACACACUUUUCUCUCCCAUUUCCCUAUCCUUUUGCGUUGUCUAAUUUGAAUUACACCUAUCCUUGCAGAUGAUCUUGUAGAAUCUGAAAGCCUUGAAUAUUGGAAACUUGGUAAAUCCAUUCGAAAUGUUGCGUACUGAAGCAGAUUUCAAAUGCAGAAUGUUUAUAAAGAGCAGGCAGUUCAAAGUAAUUUGGGGUCAGAAAUAGAACAGGCUGAACAUUCUGUUGGAAAGAAUUUUUAAACCAGUUUUCCAGCUGCAAACAUACAUGCACUUCUGCAGUGCAUAUUUCCUUCUAGUUUCUUACAACUUCUACGGCACUUGAGUCAGAUGACUUGAGUAAUCUAAAAUGUGUUUUGAUUUUUAAUUUCUCUUCUGCUAUCAGUAUCCAUAGGCUGAAUGUUUCCCUUUCUGUUCCUCCAGCAGAAGGGCACAUGAUUAAACCGCUGCUUGGAACAAUGGCUGGUUCCACUUCAAACCAAAAUCAGAAAAGUAUUCUUAAUAGUACAGAGUAAUUCUAUGAAAUUAAUUGCCACAAGAUAAAUGUUGGUAGCCACGACAUCCUUUAGUGAGUGAUUCAAUGUAUUAUUGGGCAACAAGUCAUGAUAACUAAAUUGAAUUUAUAUGUUCAUAAGAAAUAUUUUCUUAAAUUUCAAUUACUGCAGAAUUGUGUUAAAAAGUGAGGAAGGGUAUCAUCCAAAUUUUUAACAAAUUUAUUUGCCUUGUUUUCUGCAAAUGUAUAAAAGGGUAGUUAAAAUGGGUUUAAAACCUGAAACAGAGCAGGGUAUCUUAUUUCUACUGCCAGCUCCAUUCCCUUGGGUGAGUUAUCCACCUACCAGAACUCAAAAGUAGGAAGCCCUGAUCUUCCUCCUCCCAUUUGAGCUGCCAGAUCACUCUCAUCAAAAGAUUUAAACUCUUUGCUUCAGACAAUUUUUGGAAUUGAUCUAUAACCAGUUGGCUAUUUUUGCUCUGCAGCUGUUGACUCAAACUCAUUGAGAUGGGGAAUUUCUUAUAUUGCUCUAAGAGCAGGACCUUUGGAAAUGAUCCAUGGUUGCCAGAAGGGAGGGAGCACCCGAAAAAGAUUAUCCCUUAAAGGCAAGAACUUGACAACAGCCAAAGGAAAAAGUUGCUUUUACCUUUGGGGAAAUAGCUAGAGCAGUCUAAAGGGUGGGAGAGCAUUUUUGUUUGAAAACUAUCAUAGUUGUAGCUGGGGGAGUAUGGGAAGUAGACUCUAUUUUAGAAAACAAAGAGCUGCUAUUUAAAGUAGUUUGUGAUACAGAGUUUUGAGUAUUAAGAACUUGAUUUUUAAAAAGUAUUUCUGGUAGGUAAAUUUUGGGGAAAAAAAACAGAUUUUUUAAAUAGUCGAAGCAGCACACUUUUCAGCUGCAAAAACUAGUAAUUCUGAUUGGGUUGGCGUUCUAAACAUGGAAAAGAGAAAGUUUUUGUUCUGCUGGAUAAAUUGUGAAUAACUGGCAAAUUGAUGUCUUUCGUAUUGUGAAGUACUGGCUCGACGGUUAACAAAGAGAAUAAUCUUGUUUAAAGAUAGCACUACUACUAAGAAUCAUACAUUUGGAGAGCAUCUUAUCAGCUUUCCGUCCCCAAAACAAAAAUAAAAUCUUUUCCUUUUUUUAAAAAAAAAAUAUUUAUUUGCAGAAUUAAUGGAACUAGUAAUCAAGUCUUUUAAAAUCUUGAUUGUUUUGUUUCUAACCUUUGCUGAUUAAAGCUAGUUGUCCAAUGCAAAAAUUGCCUUGAAGAGUCAAUCCAACUUUCAUUCAGGAAUGACUCACAUUCCAUCAGUGGAUUCCAUUGAGUACUAAUCAUCUAGAUUGUCUGGAUAAUUUUUUUUAUAUUUGGGAGAUUUAUCUUUUUAAUCAGUUAUCCCUUCUUUUCCUGUUCCCUUGGUUCUUUCAUAUUACAUCCUGUUGCAGUCCCUAAAUAACAUCUUAAAUGUUCAACUUUCUUUUGCAAGAAAUCCCCAAAUAAAACCCUGUUGUCCAGUAAGCAAAAUGAAUAAAUAAAUAAAUCCCAAUGUACCAUUUAGAAUACAGUUCUUUUAGGCUUAGUAUCUAGGUAGCAUCUUAUAUCUAGAGUUAUAAUGGCAGAAUAUUAAUCCCAAUCCCGCAUCGGGCAUUGGAUGGCAUUUGGAAGGGAGAUGUACAUCUCUACUUCUUGCAUGGAAGAGCCAACAUAAAUUAAUAAUUAUAUUUGCAGCUAUUAUCUUUCGCUAAAUGUGAAAUCCAGGUAUGAAUUUUUCUACAAUGACCUUAAGAUUCAUGCUUUUGUUUCUUUGUUAUGAUAGCAGAACAAACAGAACUUUAAAUCACACAUCAAAGAAGAUUGGGGGAAAUAUGCUUUUUCUGGUGAUAUCCUAGCUACCCCCCGUCUCAGUUGAAACAACUAAUUUGAAGAGACUGUGACUCUACAUUGUGAAAUGUACUCUAAUCUGGGCCUAACAAGGAAGUGCCCUUCUAUUCCCAAGAUGAAGGAUGGGAAAGAUAAAGACUUUCAUUUAACCAUCACAUUAUUUCCUGAUGCUGGUUGUUUAACUCUUCAAUUUGGAAUGAACAGCUUGACAUCUUCCUUUGUGUCAAUUUUGGUUUGACAGUAUUCAUGGAGGCAAGAUUCUAUCCUAAGAGUAGCAGAAAUGUCUGUACAGCCAAAUCUUUUGACAGUUCUGACGUCUAAUCCCAGAGCUACAGAUCUGCUUGCCUAUGUUAGUCAAUUAUGUAGGUUUGUUAGUGUACAGAUAAUUUGAUACAGUAUCUCGCAGUUUAGGGGUAGAUAAGGCUGCCUCAGUUUUCUGUCAUCUUAAUUUUCUAACUCCAAUGCUUCAGAAGAGGAAUGGGAUCAGAGUUUGAUCAACUAUAUUGCUAAGAUAAAAAAAACCCAAAAUGUUCUGGUCCAAUCCCCAUUUCUGAAACUCUAUAGAAUUCAUGUGGUUUUAUGGUCUGUUUGGGUUGCAGAAAUUAAUAAGUCUCAGUUGAAAACUAGUUCAUUUUGCAAGUUAUAGAAAAAUAUCAAAGAGUUCAGUACUGUGCUUCUAUGGGAGUGUGGAAUGUGGGAUUGAAUAUAAAAGUAAUUUUGAUUUUUUUUAAAAAAAAAUCCUAAUUGUUCAUGUUAGCAAAGAUAUUGUAUAGAAAUGUAGGUGCCUGGAUGAAAUCUCAGAUCUUGAAAAUGAUGCCCAAAUUUAAUUUGGUAGAUUUUUUUUUUUAACAUUUUAGAAAAUGGUUGUGGAGAUAUGCAUUUGAUCAUUUUAUAACCCAUGACAAAAUUCAAUGUUUGAAGAUUAAAUUUUACUUAGUUUUGAUCUGGAGCAAGCUAGUAGAAAAUGAGGUUUGAAAUAAUGUUAUUAAAUUUCCCUUGAUAAACAUCCUGAAUACUUUUAAAACAUGUAGAUGAUUGAGGCCUGAUUUUAUUUUGAGUUGCUUACUGUCUGCUGAUCCGAAACAAUAGAAGGUAUCAUGCAGCUUUAAAAUAUUCAAUAAAAAUGCAAAGUGCUUCCCUGGGGGCUGUAAGAGGGAUAAUGAAAACAUGCAAUUCAAAGUCCAGUGUUGUAUCAGAGCCAAAGAGAUGGAUAAAAUUACUGAUUUUGUUUCUCCUUUCUGGAUCCAAAGAAUCACUCUUCUUCAUUGAUAUAUUUAGAUUUCUGAAUGUAUUUUUGGUCAAGGCAUCUUUUACUUGCAUUAAGUUAACGCUUUCACUUACGUGACCAUUUCUUAAAAAGCAUCUCUGCUUUGAUGCCCAUUGCUCCACCAUAUGAGAGCCAGAUGACAUGACCUUCUUAAGUCCACAGUGGAAAGCAAUAAUUUGACGAAUGCUUUUUAAGCAAGUGGAUUUGCAUAUGUUGUUGCAAAAAUGUACUGUUUUAAUUACUGCAGUUUCCCAAAUCAGGUCAGACUGAUACGGUUCAUGCCUGCAGAGCUAAAAUAGGAAUAUUAUGUUACAAUGAAGUCAUUCCAACUGGAGAAAGAUUUUGUAAUUGAGCCUUUCUUUGAGAGAAUUAAAGAAGUUUAGAAGGGCUCCCCCCCACACCCUAAGUUUUAGGAUAGAACUGAUUAAUAUCAUUUGAGGUUCUAUUUUUGCAGAAUGAGUCUUUCUCCUAGGGACCCUCUUCUCUUUUGAUCAGAAUAGCCUGCCCCAGUCCACUGGCUAGGGAAUUGGGAGAUCUGAAGUCUAACACAUGUCUGGGGAGGAAACCAGAUUGAAAAAGGUUGGAUUAGAAUUACAGCAGGAGCAUAGUGGUAGAUUGGGUUGUGCUUUGAAAAACAACAGGUAAGAUUUUCAUAUUGUUAUUGUCUUUAUUUGGGGGCAAAGGAGUGCAAAUUCCCUCUUUCCCUAAACUAGUAGAUGUACUUACGGUAGUUACUAAAAUUUUUGAGGGAUCAGAAAUCAAAUGUUAAUACAGGUUACACUGUGCCUUAAAUAGUAAUAUUAAAAUUAAUUUGAAUUGAAACCUUGAAAUGACAAACUUUCAAACCAGUGUUUUUAAAUAACAGUUUCUAACAUUGAGAUCUUCUUGUGAAAUCAGAAAUCUAAAGUAUUGCUUUGGAACCAAGGGUUCAGAUUUCAAAGAUCCUAAAUAUGUAGCCCUCAAACCCUUGUAUCCAAAUUUAAAAAUCUGGAAGAAUGUUUCAUUUCAAAUAUGUCACUACAGGUGGGUGUUUACCACUGCUGAUCAUUUGGUAAAAAUAGGUAUUGUAAGCUUAGCCUGUUUGUGACCCUAGAGAAGUACGGGAGUAAAAAUCUGAAUAUACAAAGCAUCUAUUUUUCCUAUCCUUGCACUUCUAGAAAGCUGGAAACUUAGUGCAAGAUAAUCUGUGAAACUUAGAAGUUUUAAAAUAGUCAUGAUAGAUAAUAUGGAAGUUUUAUGAAAAGAAAAGGAAUAUUUUUUUGUAUCUGAAAAAAACUUAUAGAUAGCUGGAAACUAAAUGGUUGCAAUUAAUUGCAAAUCUCCAGUUCAUUGAGGUUGAUUUCUAGGGAAAUGUUGUAACUAACUGACCCAAAGGUUUUCUCAAGUAUUUGUGAAUCUAGGCCAUUCUUUUUUUAUUUAUUUCUGUAACCCUUUUGUCUGGUAUCCCCCAUUUCAGUGCCCUUCAUUUAAGAUGGACUUCAACUCCCAUAAUCCUUAAAGUAGAGAUUAUGGAAAUUGAACUUCAGAGUUCCUUGCCAUGGGAUCCUGAUCUAGAUUCCCUCUAGAACUGGAUCUUUGUGUGGUAUAGAUUGUCAAGUAUUUAUCCCAGUGAAUUAAGGCCCAUUAACUGCACCUAUGUUUUCAUGUUUAUUGUCAUUAAUUGCUGAGUUAGCAUAUUGUGAUGUUGAAAAUUCAUGGAAGUAAUCUGAUUCUUCCCUACCCAUCAUCCAGUGAAUCUUAAAUUACUAAUGUGACAAAGUGUUUUUCUGAGUUCAGACUGCAUCCUUUAAAAUAUAGGAAGACAUCUUUUAGGGUAGAAAUAUAAAAUUAAUCUUUUUAAGCUUGCUGUAUUUGGUUGCAGUUCUGAAUUUCUAAAGCAUAUUUCCUGGAGUCCAACAACCUUUGUAAGGAUUUGACCCAUCAAAUCAUAGACAUGGGGUUUUAGCAUGCUUCCUUCAUACUUUUGUCACCAGGGAGGGAGGGAAAGUUUAAAACCAACCUGUUGACCAAGAUUGCUUGCCUUUCUCUUAGGAGUCAUUGAUCCCAUUCUGAGGCAGUACUGAAAAUUGUGACUGUGGCUAGCAAUUCCUAAGCUUUUGCUACCAGUUAACUUGGCUGGAACUCUUAAGAAAAUGGAAUAUUCCAAAUAUACUUUCAGUAUAAUAUAUACUUUGAAAAGACUAGGGAGCCUUUUCAGGGAGGGACAGCUUUUAACUUUUUCUGGUGUGGUUUCGAAUUCCACCCUUUCUUGGAUUCAGAAAAAAAUAAGUGAACCCUUAGAUCCCUGGGGGAGUGACAGACGAACAUUACAACAGGGACAUGAUUCUUGUGGAGGGGAAUGGGGGUGUCCCGAUCCACAAAUUAUACAUAGAUACACUUGAGCCUGUGAAGAGGACACAGUGCCACUAACUAGCCAUUUGGGCCAGAGAACCACCAUUCCCCCUCCCCCCCAUCACUCAACUUCAAAUGUAACUUAGUGUAAACCUUAACUGUAGCUACUUGGAUGAAAAGCCCCAUUGUACUAUGGUCUCUUCUUCUAAGUAAGCAUGGUUAAGAUUAGGCGACACAAAUCCUACACAAACUACAAUGUGUUCUUUUUUAUUUUUAAUGUAGUUAGCAGAAUUUUACUACCAAGGUUGAAUCAUUAUAGUAGCUAACUUACAACAUGUACUUUGCUAAAUAUGCAUGUACUUCUAUUUUUAAUUUUUUAUUCUUCCCAUUCUCUCCCCUCCCAAAAACCUCUUCUGCUUUUUGGUUUUACCUGUGCUGAUUUCUGUUUUAAAGUCCACCUUUAAUGUUUAAAGGAAACCUAAUGAACACACCUGUUACGAAUCUUACCAUUUUAACUGCUAUUUACUGGUCAUUGCUUAAAGUCAGACGCUGUUGCUCAUUUUCUAGUUAUUUUUCAGAUUAGAUUUUUGUCCUCAAUUUUGAAAAAUCAACCCUUUCUUCCCACAAGCACCAUAUCUGUCUAUAAUAUUACCCUUUCAGAUGGGAUGUACACCUUUUCUGAUUAUAACCAUUGCUCUUGUAUUUUGGUAGAUGCUUUGUUGAUAGUAACUAAAUGCCUAGUGAGAUUUUUAAAAGUAAAAACAAACUCAGUUGUUAUUUUAAGCCAGUCUUUUCCCUCAUACUUUCCUUGAGUAACCUUGACAUUGCAUUUUUACCAGAUAUAUCUCUCUCCACAAUUGCCUUUUCAAAAUGUUUAGCCUAAGAUUUUAGCUGAAAAAAUACAAAUCAAUAAUUUUGCUGAACAGAGUAAAUCUGAUUUUUCUUGUUAGUGAUCCCGUCAAUUGCAAGUUUCAUGCUUUAUUUAUAUGGGAAGUUAAUGAUCAAUACAUUAUUCCCUUCUACCUUUUAAAAAUAUUUCUUUUUAUGCUAAUUAACACCUGUUCUUAGUGGAUGGAUAAAUGUUAUCUUUACUGUCCCCACCCCAAUCUUGAUAAUCAAAUUCCCAUCUCCCCAAUCCUUGCACCCCACAACAUACUCCAUAGGUUGUUGGGUUUUUUAAUCAGUGUAAGUUUGGACAGGUUGCUCUAAAUCAGGGGAAAUUUGCAGUAGGUUUGUGAUCAGAAAGCUUGGGUGUCUUUUGGGAAUGUUUUUUGCUGGUGGAAUCUUGGUGCGCUGUUCAUCUGUUGAUGAUGGAGAAAGACUUACAGUGCUUAAUAAAGUCUAUUCUUUUAGUAAA